AGUAAAACAGAGUGAAAACCAAAUCCUAUGGCGCUUCUUCUUCUGAGACCUCCUUCUCCUCCAUAUCUUCACUUCAUGGCCUUACGCUUUCUCUCACACUCUUCUCUUCACCCUCACUUCCCCUCCUCUUCUUCUUCUUUCUCGUCUUCCUCUCUUGCUCGUCCCUCCCUCCCUCUUGUUCAACCCACAACCCAGGUGCUUUUCCCUUUCAUAUUUUGCCCCUCAUUUUAAAACAGAUAAGUAUUGGAAGCACAGGACCUCGUGGUCUUCACCAUUUGGUCUAUGAAAUAUUAGAUAAUGCUGUGGAUGAGGCUCAAGCCGGAUUUGCUUCAAAGAUGGAGGUUGUUUUACUUGCAGAUGGUUCUGUGAGCAUCGCUGACAAUGGUCGUGGGGUAUGCUACAUCUUCUAUGCCUUUUAGUCAAAAGCUUCACAAAUCCUUUUUUGUAUAUAUUAGAGUAAGAACACAGAGUCGUGAUUUCUUA
This is a non-coding RNA of Prunus avium (sweet cherry), 483 nucleotides long. The record is from RefSeq and is a predicted model, not a curated record. NCBI's taxonomy places the organism in Eukaryota, Viridiplantae, Streptophyta, Magnoliopsida, Rosales, Rosaceae.